GACGAACGCUGGCGGCGUGCUUAACACAUGCAAGUCGAGCGGAAAGGCCCUGCGGGGUUCGCGAGCGGCGAACGGGUGAGUAACACAUGAGUAACUAGCCCCAGACUUUGGGAUAACCCUCGGAAACGGGGGCUAAUACCGGAUACGACAAAGCUGCGCAGGGGGUCUGGGUGGAAAGUGUUUCGGUUUGGGAUGGGCUCGGGGCUGACCAGCUGGUUGGCGGGGUGUUGGCCGGGUAAGGCGACGACGGGGAGCCGGCCUGAGAGUGCGACCGGCCAGCCUGGGACUGUGCCACGGGCCAGAGUACUGCGGGAGGCAGCAGUGGGGAAUAUUGCACGAUGGGCGGAAGCCUGAUGAAGCGACGCCGCGUGAGGGAUGACGGCCUUCGGCUUGUAAAACUCUUUCAGCAGGGACGAAGCGUAAGUGACGGUACCUGCAGAAGAAGCGCCGGCUAACUACGUG
RNAcentral lists this ribosomal RNA (462 nucleotides) under uncultured bacterium. Its description in RNAcentral is "partial 16S ribosomal RNA". It matches the Rfam family "Bacterial small subunit ribosomal RNA", at positions 28 to 507 of the family's 1533-position model. The record is from RNAcentral.